UCCGACAAUUGCCGAAGAUUGACAGCUGCGAGUGCGUCUCUUUCUAUUGCCGCUUUUUUCUCACUCAUUUACUUCCUGCCUGGUCACGGAGCGUGUAUCCGCGCGUUGCCUCUUCUUUAAGCCCUUUCUCACGAGUUCACACACACACACACCAAGCUCCCGUAAGCCAUGGCCGAUAACGAGGAUCUUUUAGAUUAUGAGGAAGAGGACCAGACCGAGCAGGUGGUGGCAGAGACCACGGAACAGCCGAAAAAGGAUGUGAAGGGUACUUACGUAUCGAUUCACAGCUCCGGCUUCCGUGAUUUUUUGCUGAAGCCUGAAAUUCUGCGCGCCAUCGUCGACUGUGGUUUCGAGCAUCCGUCUGAAGUGCAACACGAGUGUAUUCCGCAGGCUGUGCUUGGUAUGGACAUUUUGUGCCAGGCCAAGUCCGGUAUGGGAAAGACGGCUGUAUUUGUGCUAGCCACGCUGCAGCAGUUGGAACCGACCGAAAACGUGCCGUACGUGCUGGUAAUGUGCCACACGCGCGAGCUCGCUUUCCAGAUAAGCAAGGAGUAUGAGCGAUUUUGUAAGUACAUGCCCACCAUCAAGGUGGCCGUAUUCUUCGGUGGGCUGCCGAUCCAGAAGGACGAAGAGGUGCUGAAAACGACGACACCUCACAUAAUCGUGGGUACGCCGGGACGCGUGCUGGCGCUUAUCCGCAACAAGAAGCUGAACCUGAAGAACCUGAAACACUUCAUACUCGACGAGUGCGACAAAAUGCUCGAACAGUUAGAUAUGCGCCGCGAUGUCCAGGAGAUUUUCCGUAACACACCACACGGAAAGCAAGUGAUGAUGUUCUCUGCCACACUGAGCAAAGAAAUUCGGCCGGUGUGCAAAAAGUUCAUGCAAGAUGUAAAUACCACCACUAGUACUACUACCACUACUUCUACUUCCCCAUCUACCUCUACUACUACUACUGCUACUCGUAAUGAUAUUAAGCGAACGGAAAGUUACUGUGUCGAUGGGAAAAGUUUGCCGAAGGGUUGUCGCUCAAGUUCGCUGAUGCUGGCAACCGAUUCUACCGCUGCCGUUGCUGUUGCUGCUGUCUUGUCGUCGUUGUCCUCCGUGUCGCACACGCGGUUUAUGAAACGGUACCGUACCGCUGCGUCCGCACAGCGCAAUCUCCUUUGGCCGAUCGCGGCCACUUGACGGGGCGUAUCAUCAACGCGCUCGUACGCGAUAUUCUGAGCUGAACGUCUUUUUUGGAAGCUCUAGUGCUUUGUGGAUGUAAAACGCAUCGGCCUCUGCAUUACUGCUCUCCAUCGUUCGUUUGCCUUCCCCGCUGCUGGAGGGACGAAGGGCUAAAAUAGUUGCAACCGAAUGAGAAGAAGCAAGCACAAAGGGUAAGGAAAGGAAAGUUGCGCACGCUCUUCGUUUUGCCGAGGAUGCCGGAAAGCUGCUGCUUCUGAAACUGGUCCAUCGGAAGAGGAGACGAACGAAUCCAGCCGCACUGCAAUGGUGUAUAAAAACCAAACCACCACCGUAAAACAAAACCAACCCCGAUAAACUGCCAAAAGUCUUAAUCUUUCUCUAAAUCAAACCAACCCGAGCAAACAAAAACACGCACAAGCUGUGUUAAAGUGAUGUAGAAGUUAUGUACACCAUUUGCGCGGUCGCGGUUACACACGUCGUAAGAAGCGUUGCUUGAUCAUAGUGCUCAGAGUCAGGAUGCUUGAAAACACGUCGUCCAUCUGGAACUGUCGUCGCAGUGCAGCGCUACCCCACCGGGCAUGCCAACACAGCAGUUGCAUGCGAAACAGAAAACGACAGUAACAUCAAUGAAUCCGUGGUCGAGAAGCGUAUUCCGUUCGGAACGAAACGAUGAUGAUGCGGGCCUGUGUCGUCCUGCCCAAUUGAUCCCCGAUGUGGUUCUCUCCUUGGUUGCUGCGCUUCUACCGAGCACCCAGCGGAUUGGUGGAAAAGGAGCCCCUAUGGAAGUGUAUGUUGACGAUGAAACCAAACUAACCCUUCACGGUCUGCAGCAGCAUUACGUGAAGCUGAAGGAAAACGAGAAAAACAAAAAGCUGUUCGAAUUGCUCGAUGUGCUGGAGUUCAAUCAGGUGGUGAUUUUCGUGAAAUCCGUGCAACGCUGCAUGGCACUGGCGCAGCUGCUGACCGAGCAAAAUUUCCCCGCCAUCGGUAUCCACCGUGGCAUGGUGCAGGAAGAACGUCUGUCGCGGUACCAGCAGUUCAAGGAUUUCCAGAAACGCAUCCUGGUCGCGACGAACCUUUUCGGACGAGGCAUGGAUAUUGAGCGUGUGAACAUUGUGUUCAACUACGACAUGCCGGAAGAUUCGGACACCUACCUGCAUCGUGUGGCCCGUGCCGGACGCUUCGGUACCAAGGGUCUCGCCAUCACCUUCAUCUCCGACGAGGCGGAUGCGAAGAUACUGAACGAUGUGCAGGAUCGGUUCGAUGUGAAUAUUAACGAGUUGCCGGACGAAAUCGAUCUCUCCUCUUACAUCGAAGGACGAUAAAGCGACGAGCGGAAGAUGCUCCCGUACCUUGGUUUGGUGCGUAAUCCCAACGUGUAGUAGUAGUGCAGCGUGUUAAGUAAAGGAUAAUUGAACAAUUUAUGGUUGCGCGCGCACUAUCUGUCCGCGGCCGUCUUGGCUGCGAGUUAGAUCGAUAAUUUCUGGCAUUUCUGUUGCAAUUCCGCAAAUGCUAUCACUAUAAUAACUUUACAUGCAUAAUUUUAGUAAGAGUGAUGAAUUUUAAUAACUUAAAACACGCGUUCAAACAAUUCUUUCCUUUUUUUUUGCAAACAAACAAACAAAAAACUACAUUCAAUCCUCACAUUACGAUUAAUGUUCCGUUUACCGAUCUUCUCACGUUAAUGUGUGACAGUAUCGUUUGUGGGCCCAAUCGUCGGUACAUUCAAAUGUUUGGCGAGGAAAACCUUUCCCUACGCUGCACAUCUGCUGCUAAACAAAACAGGGGGGGGGGGGGGGGGUUGUGCCGGUUGGUCCCCAGUAUGGCGGGGUCGGGACCGAUUUUCACCGAUUCAUUCAUUCUAUUGAUGUUCAAUAGUACUAGUGGAUAUAGGUUGAAAGCAGUUGAUAAAACUACUUAUUUUAGUAAGGCUUGAUAACUUGGUGUAAUUUUGGACCGAAACAAGAAUAAAAAUAUUAACAAAGUGUUUAGUACGUACCUAGGCGUAAGAAUCCACCAAAA
RNA transcript from Anopheles stephensi (Asian malaria mosquito), 3213 nucleotides. It is a transcript of the gene named ATP-dependent RNA helicase WM6, with no coding region annotated. The record is from RefSeq and is a predicted model, not a curated record. The transcript has 7 exons. Lineage: Eukaryota; Metazoa; Arthropoda; Insecta; Diptera; Culicidae.